This 164-nucleotide ribosomal RNA is filed under the name uncultured bacterium. RNAcentral's name for it is "partial 16S rRNA". It matches the Rfam family "Bacterial small subunit ribosomal RNA", at positions 355 to 511 of the family's 1533-position model. The record is from RNAcentral.
UAGGGAAGUCUUCCACAAUGGACGCAAGUCUGAUGGAGCAACGCCGCGUGAGUGAAGAAGGUCUUCGGAUCGUAAACUCUGUUGUUAGAGAAGAACACGAGUGAGAGUAACUGUUCAUUCGAUGACGGUAUCUAACCAGCAAGUCACGGCUAACUACGUGCCAG